This 468-nucleotide ribosomal RNA is filed under the name uncultured bacterium. Its description in RNAcentral is "partial 16S ribosomal RNA". It matches the Rfam family "Bacterial small subunit ribosomal RNA", at positions 28 to 507 of the family's 1533-position model. The record is from RNAcentral.
GACGAACGAUGGAGGAGGGGGGAACACAUGCAAGUCGAACGGAAAGGCCCUGCUUUUGUGGGGUGCUCGAGUGGCGAACGGGUGAGUAACACGUGAGUAACCUGCCCUUGACUUUGGGAUAACUUCAGGAAACUGGGGCUAAUACCGGAUAGGAGCUCCUGCUGCAUGGUGGGGGUUGGAAAGUUUCGGCGGUUGGGGAUGGACUCGCGGCUUAUCAGCUUGUUGGUGGGGUAGUGGCUUACCAAGGCUUUGACGGGUAGCCGGCCUGAGAGGGUGACCGGCCACAUUGGGACUGAGAUACGGCCCAGACUCCUACGGGAGGCAGCAGUGGGGAAUAUUGCACAAUGGGCGGAAGCCUGAUGCAGCAACGCCGCGUGCGGGAUGACGGCCUUCGGGUUGUAAACCGCUUUCGCCUGUGACGAAGCGUGAGUGACGGUAAUGGGUAAAGAAGCACCGGCUAACUACGUG